UACGAAGGGGGCUAGCGUUGUUCGGAAUCACUGGGCGUAAAGCGCACGUAGGCGGAUCGUUAAGUCGGGGUUGAAAUCCCAGGGCUCAACCCUGGAACUGCCUUCGAUACUGGCGAUCUUCGAGUCCGGGAGAGGUGAGUGGAACUCCGAGUGUGGAGGUGAAAUUCGUAGAUAUUCGGAAGAACACCAGUGGCGAAGGCGGCUCACUGGCCCGGUACUGACGCUGAGGUGCGAAAGCGUGGGGAGCAAACAGG
Molecule: ribosomal RNA, 254 nt
Filed under: uncultured bacterium
Lineage: Bacteria
Description: partial 16S ribosomal RNA
Rfam family: Bacterial small subunit ribosomal RNA
Source: RNAcentral